UUGAUACCAAUUGAGCAAUGUUUUCAUGCCCUAAAGAAUUCAGGCUGUUCUGGAGGCAAAGGGGGGGUCCGACCCAGUACUAGAUGGGUGCACCUGAUAAAUUGUUAAAAGUUCGGACACACCUACUCAUUCCAGGGUUUUUCUUUAUUUUUACUAUUUUCUACAUUGUAGAAUAAUAGUGAAGACAUCAAAACUAUGAAAUAACACAUGGAAUCAUGUAGUAACCAAAAAAGUGUUAAACAAAUCAAAAUAUAUUUCAUAUUUGAGAUUCUUCAAAGUAGCCACCCUUUGCCUUAAUGACAGCUUUGCACACUCUAGGCAUUCUCUCCACCAGCUUCAUGAGGUAGUUUAAUCCAUUUCAGAAUAAGGCUGUAACGUAAAAUGUGGAAAAGGGGAAGGGGUCUGAAUACUUUCCGAUUGCACUAUACACUAAAUACAAAACAUUAAGAACACCCGCUCUUUCCACCAGGUGAAUCCAGGUGAAAGCUAUGAUCCCUUAUUGAUGUCACUUGUUGAAUCAACUUCAAUCAGUGUAGAUGAAGGGGAGGAGACCAGGUUAAAGAUGAAGGGGAGGAGACCAGGUUAAAGAUGAAGGGGAGGAGACGGGUUAAAGAAGGGUUUUUAAGCCCUGAGACAAUGGAGACAUGGAUUGUGUAUGUGUGCCAUCCAGAGGGUGAACGGACAAGACAAAGGAUUUAAGUGCCUUUGAACGGGGUAUGGUAGUAGGUUCCAGGCGCACCGGUUUGUGUGUGUCAAGAACUACAAUGCUGCUGGGUUUUUCACGCUCAACAGUUUCCCGUGUUUAUCAAGAAUGGUCCACCACCCAAUGGACAUCCAGCCAACAUGACACAACUGUGGGAAGCCUUGGAGUCAACAUGAACCAGCAUCCCCGUGGAAUGCUUUAAAUACCUUGUAGAGUCAACAUGGGCCAACAUCCCUGUGGAGCGCUUUCAACACCUUAUAGAGUCAACAUGAACCAGCAUCCCUGUGGAACGCUUUAGAUACCGUGUAGAGUCAACAUGGGCCAGCAUCCCUGUGGAAUGCUUUAGACACCUUGUAGAGUCAACAUGGGCCAGCAUCCCUGUGGAAUGCUUUCAACACCUUGAGUGGCAAAGGAGGGGGGGGGAGACUCAAUAUUAGGAAGGUGUUCCUAAUGUUUUGUAUAGUCAAUGUAUUUAAACCCAGGAUUUCUGAUGCUAUGUAUUGGCCAUAGAGAUGCCACCGGUUGGCCAUAUUGACACUCCCCAAUAGGAGCAAUCCUCCACAGACGUGUUGGCUGACAACGUUGCCAGAAGCCGAGCUAUAUGACGCUGAACGACCAGAUAGCUAGCAACAAUGACUAGAGCUGUCAGCUAGCAACAAUGACUAGAGCUGUCAGCUAGCAACAAUGACUAGAGCUGUCAGCUAGCAACAAUGACUAGAGCUGUCAGCUAGCAACAAUGACUAGAGCUGUCAUGUGGGGAAUCAUAGGUGGCUCUUUUUAGAUAAAAACAUAUUCUUGAUAACAUGAUAAUUUAGAUAAUUUAAAACUAAAUCUUGUUCUUGAUAACACGUCUUGUUGUUGACAGUAUUAACGAUGUAUUUGAGAGACAUUGAGAGUCAUUGUGCAAAUGUAUUUAUGUUUUCAAUAAACAUUUCGGAGACUAAAUAUCGUUUAGGCCUACAUGUUGUCAAUCUAAUCCAAACCGUCUGUUGUGCGUGACUCGGUUUUUGUUGCUAAACAACCAACUCAGCUAUAAGAAAUGUUAGGAAUUCUACAGUAUUUCAAUUAAAUGUUUCAAGGACAAAGUUACAGUUAUUUUUUGUGUGUGUGUUGGGGACAGUAACAUUAGUAAUCUCAAAAAAAUAAAUAAUAAUAUUUAAAACAGGGGUUCUUCAACUUUUUCAGCCUGGGACACAAAUUAUAAAGGCUGUGUUUUCCUGGGACCCAAGUUUAGGAAAAUAUGAAACUAUAUGUAAAUAUCGGUACAUUUCAUUGCCCUUAUGGCUAAACAAAUGCAAUAUAGACAAAAACAAAUAACAAUGAAAUAAAAUAUUCAUAUAAAUAUAUAUUAAUGUUUACAUUCCCCCAUUAGAAACACUCUUCCAUAUCUGUCUAGGAUGGAACGGUUGCUGUUAAAAUGCAAUCAUUUUCAUUCUGAACUGGAAUAAACAGAUUGAUCACGUCACACAGAUAAACAGAACGCACACACACGCUUUUUGAUAGUGUAACCCUAAGUAAUAGUACACCCUACUGUAGAAACGACCAGGCCUACUGUACACCCUACUGUAGAAACGACCAGGCCUACUGUACACCCUACUGUAGAAACGACCAGGCCUACUGUACACCCUACUGUAGAAACGACCAGGC
This is a long non-coding RNA of Oncorhynchus tshawytscha (Chinook salmon), 2350 nucleotides long. The record is from Ensembl. Lineage: Eukaryota; Metazoa; Chordata; Actinopteri; Salmoniformes; Salmonidae.